Molecule: unclassified non-coding RNA, 296 nt
Filed under: Nocardioides sp.
Lineage: Bacteria; Bacillati; Actinomycetota; Actinomycetes; Propionibacteriales; Nocardioidaceae
Description: partial 16S-23S ribosomal RNA intergenic spacer
Source: RNAcentral
UGGUGGUGUUCACUAGUGGAAUCGUCGACGUUCCCCAGGUUCUCGUGGGGUGUUGGUGCUGCUCCUGUGUGGGUGGUGCUGGUGCCUGGCGGGGUGGGGUUGGUGGCACACUGUUGGGGUUCUGAGGCAUCAGGGCCCCCCGAUUGCUGCGUGCGCGUGGUGGUGGGGGGUGUGGUGUUUUGGUUCCCGGCCAGGUCCUGGCUCCCGUUGGGGGGUUGGGGGUGGUGUGGGGUUGUUGUUUGAGAUCUGGAUAGUGGACGCGAGCAUCUUUUGUAGUAAUUGUUUCGUUGGUUUGU